AAAGUCGUAACAAGGUAUCCGUAGGUGAACCUGCGGAUGGAUCAUUAACGUAGUAAUAGUAGCCUCUGGUUAUUAUCAUCUCAUGUUAACCCUUGUGGUGAAAUAGCUUGUUGUUGUUGUUUGGCGGGAGUGCGUUGGUAACAGUGCGCAACCGCCGGCAUCAUUAUAAACCUGUUUUAUUACAUUGUACUAAUGCUAUCUUGUGGUGGGAGCAGGCGCAAGUCUGUGACGACACCAAGUAAAACAAUAGUAACCAAAUACAACUGCUAGCAACGGAUCACUCGGCUCUC
Molecule: unclassified non-coding RNA, 290 nt
Filed under: Basidiomycota sp.
Lineage: Eukaryota; Fungi; Basidiomycota
Description: partial contains small subunit ribosomal RNA and internal transcribed spacer 1
Rfam family: Eukaryotic small subunit ribosomal RNA (bases 1-47)
Source: RNAcentral